RNAcentral lists this ribosomal RNA (455 nucleotides) under uncultured Streptococcus sp. RNAcentral describes it as "bacterial SSU rRNA". It matches the Rfam family "Bacterial small subunit ribosomal RNA", at positions 923 to 1382 of the family's 1533-position model. Lineage: Bacteria; Bacillati; Bacillota; Bacilli; Lactobacillales; Streptococcaceae. The record is from RNAcentral.
GCACAAGCGGUGGAGCAUGUGGUUAAUCGAAGCAACGCGAAGAACCUUACCAGGUCUUGACAUCCCGAUGCUAUUCUAGAGAUAGAAAGUUACUUCGGUACAUCGGUGACAGGUGGUGCAUGGUUGUCGUCAGCUCGUGUCGUGAGAUGUUGGGUUAAGUCCCGCAACGAGCGCAACCCCUAUUGUUAGUUGCCAUCAUUCAGUUGGGCACUCUAGCGAGACUGCCGGUAAUAAACCGGAGGAAGGUGGGGAUGACGUCAAAUCAUCAUGCCCCUUAUGACCUGGGCUACACACGUGCUACAAUGGUUGGUACAACGAGUUGCGAGUCGGUGACGGCGAGCUAAUCUCUUAAAGCCAAUCUCAGUUCGGAUUGUAGGCUGCAACUCGCCUACAUGAAGUCGGAAUCGCUAGUAAUCGCGGAUCAGCACGCCGCGGUGAAUACGUUCCCGGGCCUU